GUGACGUCAAGGCAGUCACGCUCCUUAUAGCCAAUCAGGAAUAAUGUGAUAUUCACCGCCGUUUUUCGCUGACGGAUAAAUUCAGUGAAAAGAUGCGGCAACUGCUCUGGUGAACAACACAGUAAAGAUUUGAUUCACAUUCCUGGGAUUGGUGUAUCUCCUGUUGCUUGGCAACAAGCGGUGAGACCCUUCUCCACCAAUAUGCAGCUGUUUUGUUUGUGGGGUGAAGAGCUGAGAUCCUCAUCAACCUCUUAGCUGCUUGGAUCACCACUCAGAAAUCCUCCAGUUUCUCUCUCAGAUGAGACACAGAUUUUAUUACAUCAUCAAAAGAGAGGAGAGAACUGACAGUGAUGUUGAGUGAAUCUGUAGAUCCAAGAGAAGCAGUGACAGACUGGAAACUCUACACAAACACAAAGACAAACAACACAAACAGUCUGAAAACGCAUAAACAUUUAAUAUAAACUACAACCUGUAAAACAUGCUCCUCACUUCCUAAACACCACUGUCAUGUUCAUCAGAUCUCUGUUACCUGGAGG
This is a non-coding RNA of Misgurnus anguillicaudatus (oriental weatherfish), 536 nucleotides long. NCBI's taxonomy places the organism in Eukaryota, Metazoa, Chordata, Actinopteri, Cypriniformes, Cobitidae. The record is from RefSeq and is a predicted model, not a curated record.